GCCCCGAUAGCUCAGAUGGUAGAGCGCAUCCUUGGUAAGGAUGAGGUCUCGGGUUCAACUCCCGAUCGGGGCU
This 73-nucleotide transfer RNA is filed under the name Actinomycetaceae bacterium. RNAcentral describes it as "tRNA-Thr". It matches the Rfam family "tRNA". From Rfam's summary of the family: Transfer RNA (tRNA) molecules are approximately 80 nucleotides in length. Their secondary structure includes four short double-helical elements and three loops (D, anti-codon, and T loops). The record is from RNAcentral. Lineage: Bacteria; Bacillati; Actinomycetota; Actinomycetes; Actinomycetales; Actinomycetaceae. RNAcentral also lists the same sequence under 2 other names.